GACGAACGCUGGCGGCGUGCUUAACACAUGCAAGUCGAACGGAAAGGCCCUGCUUUUGUGGGGUGCUCGAGUGGCGAACGGGUGAGUAACACGUGAGUAACCUGCCCUUGACUUUGGGAUAACUUCAGGAAACUGGGGCUAAUACCGGAUAGGAGCUCCUGCUGCAUGGUGGGGGUUGGAAAGUUUCGGCGGUUGGGGAUGGACUCGCGGCUUAUCAGCCUGUUGGUGGGGUAGUGGCUUACCAAGGCUUUGACGGGUAGCCGGCCUGAGAGGGUGACCGGCCACAUUGGGACUGAGAUACGGCCCAGACUCCUACGGGAGGCAGCAGUGGGGAAUAUUGCACAAUGGGCGGAAGCCUGAUGCAGCAACGCCGCGUGCGGGAUGACGGCCUUCGGGUUGUAAACCGCUUUCGCCUGUGACGAAGCGUGAGUGACGGUAAUGGGUAAAGAAGCACCGGCUAACUACGU
Molecule: ribosomal RNA, 467 nt
Filed under: uncultured bacterium
Lineage: Bacteria
Description: partial 16S ribosomal RNA
Rfam family: Bacterial small subunit ribosomal RNA
Source: RNAcentral